GAAUGUGAGGGUGAUCUGGCUGUGACAUCUGUUACCCCAUCGAUUUCCAGUACUGAUUCAGCUGAUCUGGCUGGCUAGGUGGUAUCCCCUUCCUUCCUCACCUCUCCAUGUGUGUCUCUUCUGAAGCUGCAUGCUCAAUUGAAGAAGAUGAUCAUCCCCAGUAGAAAUGGUCUACACAAAAUUAUCUAAUUCCUUGUUACUCAAAGUGUGGUCUGGGGACCAGCCCCAUUGUCAUCAUCU
This 240-nucleotide small nuclear RNA is filed under the name Fukomys damarensis (Damara mole-rat). Its description in RNAcentral is "7SK RNA". It matches the Rfam family "7SK RNA". From Rfam's summary of the family: 7SK was discovered as an abundant small nuclear RNA in the mid-70s but a possible function has only recently been suggested. Two independent studies have found that 7SK RNA binds the CDK9/cyclin T complex (known as elongation factor P-TEFb). The record is from Rfam by way of RNAcentral. Lineage: Eukaryota; Metazoa; Chordata; Mammalia; Rodentia; Bathyergidae.